RNAcentral lists this small RNA (4168 nucleotides) under Manduca sexta (tobacco hornworm). RNAcentral's name for it is "uncharacterized protein K02A2.6". Lineage: Eukaryota; Metazoa; Arthropoda; Insecta; Lepidoptera; Sphingidae. The record is from RNAcentral.
AAAAUCAUGGCUACUUUUGGCAUUUUGUCUAGUUUUGAUCAUUCCAUACAAGAAUGGAAAGCGUAUAAAAGUAGACUAUCACAGUGGUUUAUCGCGAAUGAUAUCGACGAGAAAUCUGAUGCGACGGGAAAAGACGAGCAAUUUUGCUGAGCGCACUCACGGAAGCCACCUACAAAUUGGCUUCAGACCUCGCCUUACCUAAGGAUCUACAAGACGUUCCUUAUGAAGACAUAAUCAAGAUACUUGAUGAUCACUUUACACCCAAAAAGUGCGGGUUUAGUGAGCGGCAAAAGUUUUACUCCUCUGUACAACAACAGGGUGAAACACAUCAGCAGUGGGCAGCGCGAUUGCGGGGACUUACUGCUGACUGCGGAUUCACCAACGUGGAGGAAAUACUGCGCGAUCGAUUUGUCUUGGGGAUGCUGGCUGGACCCGAAAAGGAGAAAUUGUUUAGCCACGACAUGAAAUCCUUAACAUUGGCGAAGGCAGUACAAGUAGCUGGGAGCAUACGGUCUGCACAGGCUGGUGCCGCGGCCACAGCCGUUCUCGAGCGCACGACGCCACAGGUGUUCCAGAUCAAGCGCCGCGAGGGCGAAGGCAACGGAACACCUCAUACGGGAAAAGAAAAGUGUUCAGUGUGCGGUCGUUCUAAUCAUAAUUCUACCCAGUGCCGGUUUAUUAACUAUAAAUGCAAGAAGUGUUUUAAAAAAGGUCAUUUACGUAAUGUGUGCAAAGAAAUUAAAUAUAUGGGGGUAGGAGAUGUGAAUGAGGACGAUGACGAUGACGGUAAGUUACUGAACAUUCGCUCGCUGCGUGGAGAACCUAUGACGGAGGUUGUAAUCAUAGGCGGCAUUAAGUUAAGAUUUGAAGUUGACACAGGAUCGGCCGUGACGGUUAUUAAUGAAAAAACAUAUCGUCAAUAUUUCAGUAACAUACCAUUGUCAAAUACCGUAAAGAAAUUAUUAUCGUAUACAGGUAGUGUCAUGAAAUGUUCGGGGGUAAUAAAUGUUCCCAUAGAAUACGAUGGAAAGCAACUUCCCAUUGACAUUUACAUAAUACGAGAUGGGGGUCCGCCUUUGCUAGGCCGUGAUUUUCUCAGUGCUUUUCAAUUACAACUCAAUUCUUGUAAUUUUAUUAAUAAUUCCAAACCCGACGUUAUUAAUUUACAAAAACGAUUUCCUCGGGUAUUUUCAGACAAACUAGGUAAGUUUAACAAAUACGAAAUAAAACUGAGAUUAAAAAACGACGCUAAACCUAUUUAUUUUAAGGCACGCCCGAUAGCCUUCGCAUUGCGUAACAAAGUAGAUAACGAAAUAGAUCGCUUAGUAAGUUUAGGUAUCCUGAAACCGGUCGAACACGCAGAAUAUGCGUCGCCUAUUGUUCCGGUGCUAAAACGCGACGGGUCCGUCAGAAUAUGCGCCGAUUACUCCGUGUCAAUAAAUAAACAACUUUUGGUAGAACAAUAUCCAUUGCCUACUGUUAAUGAGUUAUUCGCCAAGCUGUAUGGAGGCCAACAAUUCUCCAAGUUAGACCUCUCUAUGGCUUAUAAUCAGUUUGUAUUAGACAAAGAAUCACAGUGUAUAACUUGUAUAAAUACACACCGGGGUCUUUUUGUAUACACGCGUAUGGUAUUUGGCCUUUCAAGUGCGCCGGCAAUCUUUCAAAGGGCUAUGGAGUCGAUUUUAUCGGGUGUUGACGGCGUGUUAUGUUUAUUGGACGACGUCUUAAUUACAGCCGACAACAGCAAAUUGCAUUUAGAAAGACUCCACAUUGUUCUGCAAAGAUUACAAGACGCGGGACUCAUUUUACAAAAAGAUAAGUGUGAGUUCUUUAAAGAUGAAAUCAAUUAUUUAGGAUAUGUAAUUAAUAAAAAUGGUUUAAAAAAGUCACCGGAUAAGGUUAAAGCAAUUUUAAGCGCUCCGGUACCGGAUAAUGUAAAUAAGUUACAAUCUUUUUUAGGCCUGGUUAAUUAUUACAGAAAUUUUGUUCCCGACGCUUCCAGUAUUUUAAGUCCUUUAUAUGAGUUAUUAAAAAAGGAUAUCAAAUGGACUUGGAGUAAAAGCCAUAACGAAGCAUUCUGUAAAAUAAAAAAUAUUAUCAUCGGACAAAGUUCUUGCACAUUACAAUCCUCAGUCUAAACUAAUUUUAACAGUAGAUGCCUCGCCAAAUGGAUUAGGGGCAGUAUUGUCUCAAGUAGGGAAAGACGGCGCGGAAAGGCCAUUAUCAUUUGCAUCGCGUACUUUAAAUUCGGCAGAAAAGCGCUAUGCGCAGAUACAAAAAGAGGCAACUGCGAUAGUUUUCGGCGUAAAACGAUUCCAUCAAUAUUUAUAUGGGCGGGCAAAUCCUUUUAUAUUACGCACCGAUCACAAGCCACUUGUCACUAUAUUUGGACCGCACAAAGGUAUUCCCGAAGUAUCGGCAAACAGGCUGCAAAGAUAUGCAAUUUUUCUUAAUGCAUAUAAUUAUGUUAUCGAGUACAUUCGUAGUGCCGAUAACUGUGCGGACUAUUUGUCUCGCGCGAGCCUCCCCGAAGUCGGUGACGGCGGAGGGCAAGAGCAUGAUCCGGCCGCCUCGGCCGCUGUGCCCGCCGCUGUAGACGACCGAGCAGCAUACGUAAACUUUGUUUUUGAGGGUAAUUUGCCGAUAACCUUAAAUCAAUUACGCGAACAUACGCGAAAGGAUAUUACUUUAUGUAAAGUUAUACAAUACGUUUUACAGGGCUGGCCUAGGAAAAUAGAUAAUAUAGGUUUAAAACCUUAUCAUAAAUGUAGACUUCAGUUGGCUUUUGAAAAUGGGUGCCUUAUGAAGGGUCACAAAGUUGUCAUACCCCAAGCUCUGCAGAGUACUGUAUUAAAUGAAUUACACCACUCUCAUCUGGGUAUAGUAAAAACAAAAAGCAGAGGCGCGUUCACGAUUUUGGUUCCCGAGCAUAGAUAAUGCACUGGAAAAAAUGAUAAGUGCAUGCAACAUUUGCAUUCAACUCAGACCAACACCGCCGCGUGCGCCCCUGGCAACAUGGCAAUUCCCACCGAAAAUAUUCUAUAGGGUACAUCUAGAUUUUUUAGGACCUAUUAAUAACCGGAUGUAUUUAAUUAUUGUAGACGCAUACUCCAAGUGGGUAGAAGUAUAUGACACAUCCAAUGCAUGUACUACGACUGUUGUAAUUGAAAAACUUUGCGAAUUUAUGUCUCGAUUUGGGGUCCCCCACACUAUAGUAAGUGACAAUGGAUUAGCUUUUACAUCACAAGAAUUCCAACAGCAUUGCUUACUCAAUGGUAUAACUCACAUAACAUCGCCGGCUUAUCACCCUGCGAGUAACGGGCAAGCAGAAAGCUAUGUGAAAAUAAUUAAGAAAGGCCUUCGAACCAGUUUACUGUCAUCGGAUAAUCAAAAAACCAGUAAAUUGAAUUUGUUAAAAUACUUAUUUCACUAUCGUAAUUCGGUACACUCUGUCACAGGCCUUUCUCCGGCUCAAAUAGUAUAUGGCGAAAAUCUUAGGUCACGUUUAGAUUUACUUAAUCCUAAGCCCGUACGGCCGUCCUCGUCGUCAAUCACAUCUCUUACUGACCGUGUUAAACAACAACAGUGCUCGCAGAAUAAGUACUAUGGCGGUAAAAAUAAACAGUGUUAUAGUGUUAAUGACAAAGUUUUAUACAAAAAAUAUUUUAAUGGUAAUAAGUUUGUUUGGUGCAAAGGAAUUGUUGUAAAAAGACUCGGAAAAGUUUUAUAUUUAAUUAAAGAUGUAGUGCAUUUAAAGUUAUUAAAAAAGCACAAAAACCAAAUUAUUUUGUUCCGAGGCGAUCAGGUUGCCCAAAGUUAUGACUACAUGGAUGGCGAUAACUACGAUGAAAGUGAGCAGUGCGCCACCGUCGCGCCUAACUCGCCCCCGACUGUGAGGGAAGAGGAACCGAGGCCGGAGGACGUGGACACGCGGUCAUUGUUGUCGUCACCUUCAAUAGAAAUGCCUCCCUCAAGGAGCACUGUUAGACUAUUGCGACCGAUUCCUAGAGUUAAUUAUAAGGUGUAAAAUUGUUAUUUUUAAAAGUAUAGUAUUAGUAUUUCUUUGUAUUGUGUCCUUUUGAAGGGGAGAAGGUGUUAUAUAUGUAGUUAUAAGUAUAGCGUGCUGCGUACACGCCCUUGUCGAUGGGCUAAUAAAUUAGUGCGUUAC